This 333-nucleotide long non-coding RNA is filed under the name Eucalyptus grandis. Its description in RNAcentral is "long non-coding RNA (EGRA_LNC003846)". Lineage: Eukaryota; Viridiplantae; Streptophyta; Magnoliopsida; Myrtales; Myrtaceae. The record is from RNAcentral.
ACACAAACAGACUCCUUUGCCACCAAAACCCGCAAUUCUUCCCCAUCAGGGCCCAAUAACAGCUUCAAAACUGGUUGCAAAGCAUCUUUUGCCGAAAAGUCUCUAUCUUUUCUACCUUGUUCAAGUAAGUUUUCAAGUCUAUUCCACCUGCAAAAGAGUAUCAUUUCUUGUCAAUGUCCAAAAAAUAUAAUAACGCUUGUCACAUAAAACAAAGAUAGCAGCAGUUACAUGCCUAAACCUCCCAUCCUUGAACAGCAACUCGAUAAGAGCAUCCCUCAGAUACGGAUUUGGAUCAGUGAGAAGCCUCUUAGCAAAAUAAGGAUACGAAGCAGC